Molecule: ribosomal RNA, 1057 nt
Filed under: uncultured Dechloromonas sp.
Lineage: Bacteria; Pseudomonadati; Pseudomonadota; Betaproteobacteria; Rhodocyclales; Azonexaceae
Description: bacterial SSU rRNA
Rfam family: Bacterial small subunit ribosomal RNA
Source: RNAcentral
CCUACGGGAGGCAGCAGUGGGGAAUUUUGGACAAUGGGCGCAAGCCUGAUCCAGCCAUGCCGCGUGAGUGAAGAAGGCCUUCGGGUUGUAAAGCUCUUUCGGCCGGGAGGAAAUCGCAUUGGUUAAUACCUGGUGUGGAUGACGGUACCGGAAUAAGAAGCACCGGCUAACUACGUGCCAGCAGCCGCGGUAAUACGUAGGGUGCGAGCGUUAAUCGGAAUUACUGGGCGUAAAGCGUGCGCAGGCGGUUUUGUAAGACGGGCGUGAAAUCCCCGGGCUCAACCUGGGAACUGCGCUUGUGACUGCAAGGCUAGAGUACGGCAGAGGGGGGUGGAAUUCCACGUGUAGCAGUGAAAUGCGUAGAGAUGUGGAGGAACACCAAUGGCGAAGGCAGCCCCCUGGGUCGAUACUGACGCUCAUGCACGAAAGCGUGGGUAGCAAACAGGAUUAGAUACCCUGGUAGUCCACGCCCUAAACGAUGUCAACUAGGUGUUGGAAGGGUAAAACCUUUUAGUACCGGAGCUAACGCGUGAAGUUGACCGCCUGGGGAGUACGGCCGCAAGGUUAAAACUCAAAGGAAUUGACGGGGACCCGCACAAGCGGUGGAUGAUGUGGAUUAAUUCGAUGCAACGCGAAAAACCUUACCUACCCUUGACAUGUCCAGGAGCCCUUAGAGAUUUGGGUGUGCCCGAAAGGGAACUGGAACACAGGUGCUGCAUGGCUGUCGUCAGCUCGUGUCGUGAGAUGUUGGGUUAAGUCCCGCAACGAGCGCAACCCUUGUCGUUAAUUGCCAUCAUUUAGUUGGGCACUUUAACGAGACUGCCGGUGACAAACCGGAGGAAGGUGGGGAUGACGUCAAGUCCUCAUGGCCCUUAUGGGUAGGGCUUCACACGUCAUACAAUGGUCGGUACAAAGGGUCGCCAACCCGCGAGGGGGAGCCAAUCCCAGAAAGCCGAUCGUAGUCCGGAUCGUAGGCUGCAACUCGCCUGCGUGAAGUCGGAAUCGCUAGUAAUCGUGGAUCAGCAUGUCACGGUGAAUACGUUCCCGGGCCUUGUAC